UGGGGAAUAUUGCACAAUGGGCGCAAGCCUGAUGCAGCCAUGCCGCGUGUAUGAAGAAGGCCUUCGGGUUGUAAAGUACUUUCAGCGGGGAGGAAGGCGAUAAGGUUAAUAACCUUGUCGAUUGACGUUACCCGCAGAAGAAGCACCGGCUAACUCCGUGCCAGCAGCCGCGGUAAUACGGAGGGUGCAAGCGUUAAUCGGAAUUACUGGGCGUAAAGCGCACGCAGGCGGUCUGUCAAGUCGGAUGUGAAAUCCCCGGGCUCAACCUGGGAACUGCAUUCGAAACUGGCAGGCUAGAGUCUUGUAGAGGGGGGUAGAAUUCCAGGUGUAGCGGUGAAAUGCGUAGAGAUCUGGAGGAAUACCGGUGGCGAAGGCGGC
RNAcentral lists this ribosomal RNA (378 nucleotides) under uncultured bacterium. Its description in RNAcentral is "partial 16S ribosomal RNA". It matches the Rfam family "Bacterial small subunit ribosomal RNA", at positions 355 to 725 of the family's 1533-position model. The record is from RNAcentral.